CAGGCCUAACACAUGCAAGUCGAGCGGACAGAUGGGAGCUUGCUCCCUGAUGUUAGCGGCGGACGGGUGAGUAACACGUGGGUAACCUGCCUGUAAGACUGGGAUAACUCCGGGAAACCGGGGCUAAUACCGGAUGCUUGAUUGAACCGCAUGGUUCAAUUAUAAAAGGUGGCUUUUAGCUACCACUUACAGAUGGACCCGCGGCGCAUUAGCUAGUUGGUGAGGUACCGGCUCACCAAGGCAACGAUGCGUAGCCGACCUGAGAGGGUGAUCGGCCACACUGGGACUGAGACACGGCCCAGACUUCCUACGGGAGGCAGCAGUAGGGAAUCUUCCGCAAUGGACGAAAGUCUGACGGAGCAACGCCGCGUGAGUGAUGAAGGUUUUCGGAUCGUAAAACUCUGUUGUUAGGAAAGACCA
Molecule: ribosomal RNA, 420 nt
Filed under: Bacillus sp. Lgg15.11
Lineage: Bacteria; Bacillati; Bacillota; Bacilli; Caryophanales; Bacillaceae
Description: bacterial SSU rRNA
Rfam family: Bacterial small subunit ribosomal RNA
Source: RNAcentral